UUACCUGGCCUUGACAUGCUGAGAACUUUCCAGAGAUGGAUUGGUGCCUUCGGGAACUCAGACACAGGUGCUGCAUGGCUGUCGUCAGCUCGUGUCGUGAGAUGUUGGGUUAAGUCCCGUAACGAGCGCAACCCUUGUCCUUAGUUACCAGCACGUAAUGGUGGGCACUCUAAGGAGACUGCCGGUGACAAACCGGAGGAGGGUGGGGAUGACGUCAAGUCCUCAUGGCCCUUAUGGGUAGGGCUUCACACGUCAUACAAUGGUCGGUACAGAGGGUUGCCAACCCGCGAGGGGGAGCUAAUCCCACAAAGCCGAUCGUAGUCCGGAUCGCAGUCUGCAACUCGACUGCGUGAAGUCGGAAUCGCUAGUAAUCGUGGAUCAGCAUGUCACGGUGAAUACGUUCCCGGGUCUU
This 412-nucleotide ribosomal RNA is filed under the name uncultured Pseudomonadaceae bacterium. Its description in RNAcentral is "bacterial SSU rRNA". It matches the Rfam family "Bacterial small subunit ribosomal RNA", at positions 971 to 1382 of the family's 1533-position model. The record is from RNAcentral. Lineage: Bacteria; Pseudomonadati; Pseudomonadota; Gammaproteobacteria; Pseudomonadales; Pseudomonadaceae.